RNAcentral lists this ribosomal RNA (481 nucleotides) under uncultured bacterium. Its description in RNAcentral is "partial 16S ribosomal RNA". It matches the Rfam family "Bacterial small subunit ribosomal RNA", at positions 28 to 507 of the family's 1533-position model. The record is from RNAcentral.
GACGAACGUUGGCGGCGUGCUUAAUACAUGCAAGUCAACUGAAGCAGUGGUAGCAAUAUCGCUGUGGAGGUGGCGCACGGGUGAGUAACACGUAGGUAAUCUGCCUUCAGGUCUGGCAUAACUCCGGGAAACCGGGGCUAAUAGCAGAUGAUGCAGCGGCUCGACAUCGAGACAGUUGUUAAAGCUAUGGCGCCUGAAGAUGAGCCUGCGUCUGAUUAGCUAGUUGGCGGGGUAACGGCCCACCAAGGCAACGAUCAGUAGCUGGUCUGAGAGGAUGAUCAGCCACACUGGAACUGAGACACGGUCCAGACUCCUACGGGAGGCAGCAGUAAGGAAUAUUGCUCAAUGGGAGAAAUCCUGAAGCAGCAACGCCGCGUGAGGGACGAAGGGCUUUUGCUUGUAAACCUCUGUAGUGAGAGAAAAAAAUCCCAAUCUUUGGGACAUGAUGGUAUCUCAAAAGUAAGCCCCGGCUAGCUACGUG